UGGUGGGCAGCAGUGGAGUGGGAAUGCUGCUGGCUGUCAGCUGCUGCUCAGCACCUGCACGACUGGCUGGCCUCAAGGCAAGGGGCCAGAGCAAGAGACAAGCAUAACAGUUGUACUCUACUUAUCUGAAGACAUCAGCUCAGUGAUCUGAAGAGGACAGAGUCAUGAGAGCAGCUCAAAACGCCACCAGUGUCCUGCUACAGAGCCUAACCAGCCAGUUCUGUUUGUGGUGGUUUAACAACCUUCAGUGAUAUUCCCAGAGCUGGGGAACAGAUGUGAAAUCCAGUCCUGGGAACCACAGGGAAGUGGUAUGAUGAAAGAUGAGUACGAGGAUGAGCUAAAAGCAAUUAAUGCCAAAGUAUCACCACUAUAAAAUUUUUUUGUUGAAAAUAUCAAGAAAUCAUUUUUGCUCUCUGGAUUGAG
Molecule: long non-coding RNA, 423 nt
Organism: Cyanistes caeruleus (blue tit)
Lineage: Eukaryota; Metazoa; Chordata; Aves; Passeriformes; Paridae
Source: RefSeq, a predicted model, not a curated record